UACGUAGGGGGCAAGCGUUGUCCGGAAUCAUUGGGCGUAAAGAGCGUGUAGGCGGCUCGAUAAGUCUGCUGUGAAAGUCCAGGGCUCAACCCUGGAAGGCCGGUGGAAACUGACGGGCUAGAGUCCGGAAGAGGCGAGUGGAAUUCCCGGUGUAGCGGUGAAAUGCGCAGAUAUCGGGAGGAACACCAAUGGCGAAGGCAGCUCGCUGGGACGGUACUGACGCUGAGACGCGAAAGCGUGGGGAGCAAACAGG
This 253-nucleotide ribosomal RNA is filed under the name uncultured bacterium. RNAcentral's name for it is "partial 16S ribosomal RNA". It matches the Rfam family "Bacterial small subunit ribosomal RNA", at positions 524 to 776 of the family's 1533-position model. The record is from RNAcentral.